Molecule: long non-coding RNA, 308 nt
Filed under: Homo sapiens (human)
Lineage: Eukaryota; Metazoa; Chordata; Mammalia; Primates; Hominidae
Description: non-protein coding lnc-SYCP3-5:1
Source: RNAcentral
CUGGACCUUCGCAAAGUGAACGAGCUUCGGGACUUCGUGAAAAUGUAUAAGCAGGAUCCGAGCAUUCUGCAUACCAAGGAAAUGUGCUUUCUGAGGGAGCAGGUGGAGAGCAUGGGGGGUGAAGUACCAUGUGCUACUCAGAAAGCUAUUAUAAAUCAGAAGAAAAUAUCAAGGAAUUAAAAACAGGUAGUAAGAAGGUGGAGGAAAACAUAAGCACAGACGAACUAUCAAGUGAGGAAAGUGAUCUAGAAAUUGAUAACGAAGCUGUGAUUGAACCAGACACUGAUUCCCCUCAAGAAAUGGGAGAU